AUGAGUUUGCUCUGUGUCAUCCUCACAACAACCUUGCAGGGUAGAGAUGAUUUUUCCUACUUUUCUAGGUUGUU
RNAcentral lists this microRNA precursor (74 nucleotides) under Nomascus leucogenys (northern white-cheeked gibbon). Its description in RNAcentral is "miRNA (ENSNLEG00000027401.1)". Lineage: Eukaryota; Metazoa; Chordata; Mammalia; Primates; Hylobatidae. The record is from RNAcentral.